This 460-nucleotide ribosomal RNA is filed under the name uncultured bacterium. Its description in RNAcentral is "partial 16S ribosomal RNA". It matches the Rfam family "Bacterial small subunit ribosomal RNA", at positions 338 to 795 of the family's 1533-position model. The record is from RNAcentral.
UCUACGGGAGGCAGCAGUGAGGAAUAUUGGUCAAUGGGCGCGAGCCUGAACCAGCCAAGUAGCGUGAAGGAUGACUGCCCUACGGGUUGUAAACUUCUUUUAUAAAGGAAUAAAGUGAGGCACGUGUGCCUUUUUGUAUGUACUUUAUUAAUUAGGAUAGGCUAACUCCGCGCCAGCAGCCGCGGUAAUACGGAGGAUCCGAGCGUUAUCCGGAUUUAUUGGGUUUAAAGGGAGCGUAGAUGGGUUGUUAAGUCAGUUGUGAAAGUUUGCGGUUCAACCGUAAAAUUGCAAUUGAUACUGGCAGUCUUGAGUACAGUUGAGGUAGGCGGAAUUCGUGGUGUAGCUGUGAAAUGCUUAGAUAUCACGAAGAACUCCGAUUGCGAAGGCAGCUUACUAAACUGCCACUGACAUUGAUGCUCGAAAGUGUGGGUAUCAAACAGGAUUAGAUACCCGAGUAGUC